AGUGUAGCUUUUUUUUUUCUUCUUUUUUUCUUUUUCUUUCUUUCUAUCUUUCUUUCUUUCUUUCUUUCUCUUAUAUUCGUCGAUUUAAUUCGUUCGCGUAUAUUUUGUCCGCGAUAUAUCUCGUCUUUAUCAAAUUAAUCGAAAAAUAAUAUAAUGAUUAGAGAAAGAAAAUGGGAGAUAAUGUGUGCGUGUUUUGGAAUUUUAUUGACUGGUGUUAAUUGUCAACGGUGAUGAGAGACAAAUUAAAAAAACAGAAUAUGCCGGAAAAACGUUUUGUCGUUUAUGCGGCUUCUCGCGUUUCGUUUCGUUUCGUUUUCGUUAUUGACACGUAAUCGUCGUUGUCGUGAGUGUAACGGGAAAAUGCGAAACUUUGAGAAACUCGUACGCUCGUGGGAAAAGAUCCUCGAGGAAGAAGAAGAAGAAGAAGAAGAAGAGGAAGAAGAAGAAGAAGAAGAAGAGGAAGAAGAAGAAGAAGAAGAAGAAGAGGAAGAAGAAGAAGAAGAAGAAGAAAAAAAGUCUUCGAUAAAAAGUGACGAGAUUCAUGAAAACCUUAUUCGCAUGUCGACGAGACAGCCGCAUGCGACGUUUUUACGAUGAUCUAGUUUAAUUUAUGCGCCAACGUUUCGACGUGAGUGCGAUACUCGUGUUUGAAAAAAAAAAUGUUUUCAUCUAUCGAGGACUAAACACAUCGUUGCGUGAAAGAUAUUUCGUCGGAUGCUGUAUAUCCUUCUUUUGAUUUUGAUCUCCUUGGAACAAUGCUCUCUUGUGUCGAACAGCAAAAAUAACAACAGCUACAACAGUAACAACAACAACAACAACAACAACUACCAACAUCAAGGCGAUAUGUGUUGUAGUGAUGACGCACGAUGACUCUGAUAAAAGUGAAUAAUAUCGAAGCUAGUGAAAAAUUAACUUUAUUUGAUAGACUCGGUGGUGCUUUUGUGCACAGGACGUACCAUGAAGAAUUAAUCUACGUUAGUGUGAUCAAAAUGAGGAGAGAUUUGUGCGAGAGAAACGAAAAAACACGUAGAAAGAUAAGAAAAAUAGAUAGAACUCUGUCACCGAAAGAAACGUUAUUGCGAUCGAGCGUGCGUUAAAAGGUCAAAAAGAUCGAUCAAAUUUA
Molecule: long non-coding RNA, 1123 nt
Organism: Polistes canadensis
Lineage: Eukaryota; Metazoa; Arthropoda; Insecta; Hymenoptera; Vespidae
Exons: 2
Source: RefSeq, a predicted model, not a curated record